GGGGAAUAUUGGACAAUGGGCGCAAGCCUGAUCUAGCCAUGCCGCGUGAGUGAUGAAGGCCCUAGGGUUGUAAAGCUCUUUCAACGGUGAAGAUAAUGACGGUAACCGUAGAAGAAGCCCCGGCUAACUUCGUGCCAGCAGCCGCGGUAAUACGAAGGGGGCUAGCGUUGUUCGGAAUUACUGGGCGUAAAGCGCACGUAGGCGGAUUGGUCAGUUAGGGGUGAAAUCCCAGGGCUCAACCCUGGAACUGCCUUUAAUACUGCCGGUCUAGAGUUCGAGAGAGGUGAGUGGAAUUCCGAGUGUAGAGGUGAAAUUCGUAGAUAUUCGGAGGAACACCAGUGGCGAAGGCGGCUCACUGGCUCGAUACUGACGCUGAGGUGCGAAAGCGUGGGGAGCAAAC
Molecule: ribosomal RNA, 400 nt
Filed under: uncultured bacterium
Lineage: Bacteria
Description: bacterial SSU rRNA
Rfam family: Bacterial small subunit ribosomal RNA
Source: RNAcentral